Molecule: ribosomal RNA, 371 nt
Filed under: uncultured organism
Description: bacterial SSU rRNA
Rfam family: Bacterial small subunit ribosomal RNA
Source: RNAcentral
CAGAGACUGCAAGCGUUGUUCGGAUUCAUUGGGCGUAAAGGGUGCGCAGGCGGUCCGGUAAGUCGGGUGUGAAAGCUCGAGGCCUAACCUCGAAUGGUCAUUCGAAACUACCGGGCUAGAGGAUUGGAGAGGAGACUGGAAUAGUUGGUGUAGCAGUGAAAUGCGUAGAGAUCAACUAGAACACCGGUGGCGAAGGCGAGUCUCUGGACAAUUCCUGACGCUCAGGCACGAAAGCCAGGGGAGCAAACGGGAUUAGAUACCCCGGUAGUCCUGGCCCUAAACGGUGUUCACUUGGUGUGCGGGGAGUCGACCCCUGCGUGCCGCAGCUAACGCGAUAAGUGAACCGCCUGAGAAGUACGGUCGCAAGAUUA